AGUGAACGCUGGCGGUAGGCCUAACACAUGCAAGUCGAACGGCAGCACAGUAAGGGCUUGCUCUUACGGGUGGCGAGUGGCGGACGGGUGAGGAAUACAUCGGAAUCUACUUUUUCGUGGGGGAUAACGUAGGGAAACUUACGCUAAUACCGCAUACGACCUACGGGUGAAAGCAGGGGAUCUUCGGACCUUGCGCGAUUGAAUGAACCGAUGUCGGAUUAGCUAGUUGGCGGGGUAAAGGCCCACCAAGGCGACGAUCCGUAGCUGGUCUGAGAGGAUGAUCAGCCACACUGGAACUGAGACACGGUCCAGACUCCUACGGGAGGCAGCAGUGGGGAAUAUUGGACAAUGGGCGCAAGCCUGAUCCAGCCAUACCGCGUGGGUGAAGAAGGCCUUCGGGUUGUAAAGCCCUUUUGUUGGGAAAGAAAAGCAGCAGGUUAAUACCCCGCUGUUCUGACGGUACCCAAAGAAUAAGCACCGGCUAACUUCGUG
RNAcentral lists this ribosomal RNA (492 nucleotides) under uncultured bacterium. RNAcentral describes it as "partial 16S ribosomal RNA". It matches the Rfam family "Bacterial small subunit ribosomal RNA", at positions 29 to 507 of the family's 1533-position model. The record is from RNAcentral.